This 441-nucleotide ribosomal RNA is filed under the name uncultured bacterium. RNAcentral's name for it is "partial 16S ribosomal RNA". It matches the Rfam family "Bacterial small subunit ribosomal RNA", at positions 338 to 795 of the family's 1533-position model. The record is from RNAcentral.
CCUACGGGAGGCUGCAGUGGGGAAUAUUGCACAAUGGGGGAAACCCUGAUGCAGCGACGCCGCGUGAGUGAAGAAGUAUUUCGGUAUGUAAAGCUCUAUCAGCAGGGAAGAAGAAAGACGGUACCUGACUCAGAAGCCCCGGCUAACUACGUGCCAGCAGCCGCGGUAAUAAGUAGGGGGCAAGCGUUAUCCGGAUUUACUGGGUGUAAAGGGAGCGUAGACGGCUGUGCAAGUCUGAAGUGAAAGCCCAGGGCUCAACCCUGGGACUGCUUUGGAAACUGUGGAGCUAGAGUGCUGGAGAGGUAAGUGGAAUUCCUAGUGUAGCGGUGAAAUGCGUAGAUAUUAGGAGGAACACCAGUGGCGAAGGCGGCUUACUGGACAGUAACUGACGUUGAGGCUCGAAAGCGUGGGGAGCAAACAGGAUUAGAUACCCCAGUAGUC